ACAGGUUAAGCUGACGAGUGGCGAACGGGUGAGUAAUAUAUCGGAACGUGCCCAGUCGUGGGGGAUAACUGCUCGAAAGAGCAGCUAAUACCGCAUACGACCUGAGGGUGAAAGCGGGGGAUCGCAAGACCUCGCGCGAUUGGAGCGGCCGAUAUCAGAUUAGGUAGUUGGUGGGGUAAAAGCCUACCAAGCCAACGAUCUGUAGCUGGUCUGAGAGGACGACCAGCCACACUGGGACUGAGACACGGCCCAGACUCCUACGGGAGGCAGCAGUGGGGAAUUUUGGACAAUGGACGCAAGUCUGAUCCAGCCAUGCCGCGUGCGGGAAGAAGGCCUUCGGGUUGUAAACCGCUUUUGUCAGGGAAGAAAAGGUUCUGGAUAAUACCUGGGACUCAUGACGGUACCUGAAGAAUAAGCACCGGCUAACUACGUGCCAGCAGCCGCGGUAAU
This 450-nucleotide ribosomal RNA is filed under the name uncultured bacterium. RNAcentral's name for it is "bacterial SSU rRNA". It matches the Rfam family "Bacterial small subunit ribosomal RNA", at positions 78 to 524 of the family's 1533-position model. The record is from RNAcentral.